RNAcentral lists this long non-coding RNA (1243 nucleotides) under Capra hircus (goat). RNAcentral describes it as "lncRNA (ENSCHIG00010026449.1)". Lineage: Eukaryota; Metazoa; Chordata; Mammalia; Artiodactyla; Bovidae. The record is from RNAcentral.
AUUCACAAAGAAGCAACUUAACAGAAGGUCAACAAGCCCCCAGACAAAAAGUGUAUAUAGAGCUCCAUCUUCAAAAUACAGCCAACUCUCUAUUUUUCUUCCUAACCCUAGGCUAAAAAGGCUAAUGAGAUUCACAGACAACAUAUUAAAUGAUGGAAUUCUCUACAUAGCUCCAUUUCUUUCUAUAAAUAAUUUUAAAACUAUUACCCAAUAAUGUAUUGUAAUAAAAAAGCUGACAAGGUCUUGCUCAACAAGUAAUCACCAGCAUGUUUUUGCACCUGGAGAUGGAGAACUUUCUUAUUAUGCGCCCCUGGUGAUUUUUAGGUGUUUCCAUAAAGCUGUUGCCAUUAUUUAUAAGCCACAGGUUACUUCCCUUUGCUGCAUGCUCAAAUUAAUGAAAACUUAUUUUAAAGACUCAGAAAAGCAGGGCAGACUAGAUGUAUGCCAAGCAGCCCCAGAGGGAUGGCGUGGGUUUUAAGUCAUUUGCAGUCUUCCUUAAGGAGACCUGGGUUCAAUCCUUGGGUUGGGAAGAUCCCUUGGAGAAGAGGACGGCUACCCAAUCCAGUAUUCUGGCCUGAAGAAUUCCAUGGGCUGAUCCAUGGGGUCACAAAGAGUCAGACACAACUGAGCAACUUUCACUUUCUUUUAAGGCAGCUCUGAGACCAUCCGCAGGACACAAGACAGCAUCUUUGGAGAUGGUGACCUCCUAAAGAUGAGGCUUGGGGAGGCAGGGACUGCUUCCAGGUGGGGGCCAUCUCCACCUCUGCUGCCUCAGCCUUGCCAGCCCAGAGCUCCAGGGUUGGCCUUGCCAGCAAGAGCCACAUGGGCUGGAGAACCUCUGCUGCCAAUGCCUGAAAUCCCUCCCCACAGCCACAGCCUAACCUCCUUGGUGCUUUGCACUUGCAGAGACAGCAUCCCACAGGAGAGACUCGUGGGCGGAGGGGCAAAGACACCCAUAUGCACAUACAUGCACACCCGAGGCCUGGCGCUCCCUGCAUCCAGUCCCCCAGAGCUGAAUGCCAAGAUGCAGGAAAAAGGACCAAGAGCUGCCAAGCCCCUCGAACUCCUCUACAGAUCUGCGUGCCCCUGGACAGGAUUAACAGCAAGGGCACCAAUACGGUCCACUCCAGUGCCUAUAAAAACUCUACCUACUUCCAGACCUACUUCAAAUAUUGCAUCCUCCAAGAAGCCUUUUCUGUUAGCAUCACAAGGUGGAACGUCUCCCUCAUUAUGUCCACAGUGA